GCGGCACGGCAAGCUCCUUGUGGUAAAGUGACAAGCUCUGUGUCCGGCGUCCGCUGCCCUCAGUCCCUCACUGUCCCUUGGUUCCUGCGCCAGGUUGCUGUCCCUGCGUGUGCAGAAUCACAGAAUCAGUUUGGCUGGAAAAGACCUCUGAGAUGAUUGAGUCCAACCUAUGAUCGAACACCAGAAUGUCGACUAAACCGCAGGACUAAAUACUAGGUCCAGUAUUUCCUUAAACACCUCGGGAAGGGUGACUCCACCAGCUCCCUGGGCAGCCCAUUCCAAUGUCUAAUCACCUUUUUUCUGUGAAGAAAUUCCUUCUAAUGUCCAACCUAAAGCUCUUCUGCUGCAGCUUAAGACGAUGUGCGCUUGUCCUGUCACGGGUUACCUGCGAGGAGAGGCUCCUUUCAGGUACUUGUAGACAGUGAUUAAGAUCUCUCCUGAGCCUGCUUUUGUCCGGAUUAAACACUCCCAGCUCCCUCAGGUGCUCCUCUAAGAAUUUAUGUUCCAGACCCAUCACCUUCUUGUUGCCCUUCUCUGGACCUGCUCCAGCAUCUCAGUGUCCUUCCUGAACUGAGGAGUCAAAACUGGGGAGAGCAGAGUAGGCUUUCCAGGUGCCACAGAGGUGGCUUCCGUCCAUGAGGAGAAAAACACCAACAGGGCCUGGCUGGCAAGGAGACCAGCUCCAUGGAAGUCCCUAUCCAGCCCAUGUGCAGAGCUGGAAGCAUCUGCCAGAGCAGAAAGAAGGACUGAAGUGUCAACAUUUGUUUUCCAUUAACUUGUGAAAACAUAGACAGCUAUUGUUAAAGCUGGAGACUUCCUGCUAUUUGGCUUGGAGGAAAAAGCAAGUGGGUGCUCAUGCUGAGCAGUUGUAGCCAACAAAGUUGUGCUCCAUGGACAUUGUUGCCAAGUCCCCUGUGCUGGUGGUGGGUGCUCUUUCGAGUGCACAGGGCUCAUAUCUUAUUAGUUCAGUCUUAGCUCCAGGCUUCAAACAAACAUGGUGAUCAGAUGCCUUCCAGAAGGUGCCUCCAGCAAGCAGCACUGUGGCCUGCCUGUCACCCCUCUGGGCACUGCAAGAUUUCCUUUUCCUUGGCUGUCUGGAUUUCCUGGGAGGUCUCUGCUGAUCCACCUCAGGCACAAGCAGCUGUACCUUAAGCAAGUGCCUCUGUGCAGCCCUUUCCUCAGGCCCUCUGUCACCACAGAGUUUAAUCUAAUGCAGACUUUUCCUCUAGGCAGGCCUGGAGGAUAGCAGCAGAAACCCAAAUUUCCCUUCUUGCAAAUGCAAGAGGAAUGUGGGAGCUCCAGCUCGGCAGAGGCUGAAAGGCUGGCUAAGAUCCAAUUGAGUAAAGUGCCCAUUUCAUAUCCAGUGGAGAUGCAAUGUAAACAUGCUGAAAAUUCUCGGCCAUCAAUCCUAUCCACAAACUCAAAUUUUUGGGAAACCAACUGCAAACAGUAUCCCAGCAUAUAUAUCUGCUCUUGGCCUGCUUUGCUUCCAUUCUCUCUUCCCCAUGUAGUGGUGUCCAAGAGCAAAGUGAAACAAGGGCUGAAUGAAGCAGUAGAAAGCUUUGCUAUCUCCACAGAGUGCAGGAAAGGAGUGUGGCCAAAAGCCAGAAAUGAAGCAUUCAGGAAUUUCUGACUAAAUCAGCUUAACUCUGCCCAGUGCUGAGCUGAUGGGAGAAGUCCCUCUGCUUUGCCCAGAGGUAGGAUUGAGACAGUGAAACAGGGGAUCUACAGAAGGGUCUUGAGGCUCCCCUGGGGUGGGUGGUACAGGACCCAGUGGGGCCUUUCCCUGCCUGGUUUGGAGCAUCCCCUUCCCUCAUUGCAUGGGGAGCAGGAAGUUUGUGCUGGCUGCUGAUCACAUAGAAAUGGUGAGUAUGUGACUGUGCUCUUUAGCAGCUCUGGCCCUAUGUGACUCAUAUUCCUUUCCAGAACUUAGUAUUUUCUUGUAUUCUAUAAUGUUCAAUGAUAAUUUUCACAUGAUUUUAAAGUACUGAAUUGUU
Zonotrichia albicollis (white-throated sparrow) is the source of this 1997-nucleotide long non-coding RNA. RefSeq lists it as uncharacterized. NCBI's taxonomy places the organism in Eukaryota, Metazoa, Chordata, Aves, Passeriformes, Passerellidae. The record is from RefSeq and is a predicted model, not a curated record.